This 31-nucleotide non-coding RNA is filed under the name Prorocentrum micans. Lineage: Eukaryota; Dinophyceae; Prorocentrales; Prorocentraceae. The record is from RNAcentral.
UUUUUUUUUUUUUUUUUUUUUUUUUUUCUCC